CAGGUCAGCAUACUGCCGUGAAUACGUUCCCGGGCCUUGUACACACCGCCCGUCACACCAUGAGAGUUGGGAAUACCCGAAGCCUGUGAGCUAACAUUUAUGAGGCAGCAGUCGAAGGUAGAAUCAAUGAUUGGGGUGAAGUCGUAACAAGGUAUC
RNAcentral lists this ribosomal RNA (156 nucleotides) under uncultured bacterium. RNAcentral describes it as "partial 16S ribosomal RNA". It matches the Rfam family "Bacterial small subunit ribosomal RNA", at positions 1345 to 1500 of the family's 1533-position model. The record is from RNAcentral.